UACGGAGGGGACUAGCGUUGCUCGGAAUUACUGGGCGUAAAGCGCACGUAGGCGGUCUUUUAAGUCGGUGGUGAAAUCCUGGAGCUCAACUCCAGAACUGCCUUCGAUACUGGAAGACUUGAGUCCGGGAGAGGUGAGUGGAACUGCGAGUGUAGAGGUGAAAUUCGUAGAUAUUCGCAAGAACACCAGUGGCGAAGGCGGCUCACUGGCCCGGUACUGACGCUGAGGUGCGAAAGCGUGGGGAGCAAACAGG
RNAcentral lists this ribosomal RNA (253 nucleotides) under uncultured bacterium. RNAcentral describes it as "partial 16S ribosomal RNA". It matches the Rfam family "Bacterial small subunit ribosomal RNA", at positions 524 to 776 of the family's 1533-position model. The record is from RNAcentral.